GUAGGGGGCAAGCGUUAUCCGGAAUNACUGGGUGUAAAGGGUGCGUAGGUGGUAUGGCAAGUCAGAAGUGAAAACCCAGGGCUUAACUCUGGGACUGCUUUUGAAACUGUCAGACUGGAGUGCAGGAGAGGUAAGCGGAAUUCCUAGUGUAGCGGUGAAAUGCGUAGAUAUUAGGAGGAGCACCAGUGGCGAAGGCGGUCAACUGGACAGCAACUGACGCUGAGGCGCGAAAGCGUGGGGAGCAAACAGGAUUAGAUACCCUGGUAGUCCACGCCGUAAACGAUGUCGACUUGGAGGUUGUGCCCUUGAGGCGUGGCUUCCGGAGCUAACGCGUUAAGUCGACCGCCUGGGGAGUACGGCCGCAAGGUUAAAACUCAAA
RNAcentral lists this ribosomal RNA (379 nucleotides) under uncultured bacterium. RNAcentral describes it as "bacterial SSU rRNA". It matches the Rfam family "Bacterial small subunit ribosomal RNA", at positions 527 to 905 of the family's 1533-position model. The record is from RNAcentral.